UGCAACUACAUAUCUAUGGUGUGCUGAGUAUUCCGCACAAUUACUUAAUUUAAACUUGACAAUUAUCCCUGUUUUACAGAUUAGCAAACUGAGUCUCAGGAAGGCUAAGUUACAAUAAAGGCACAGAGUAAAUGGCAAUGCCUAUAUUUCACUCUACCACAACACCUUGCUAAUGAAAAUACCUAAGCUCAUCUGAAGUUUAUACUUUAAAAUAUUCUUGUCAAGAAACUCUAUGUCUAGAAUAACAAGUCAUUCCACCACUCCUCCCACUCUCAAGUCCUACCCACUCCACCACACACCUUCCCUCUGACACACACUCACAUCCAUUCCCUACACCCACUUGCCUUCUUCCAAGCCUUCACAGAGCUGUUCCCUCUGCUUAGACUGUCCUACCUUUCUUCCCCACUUAAGAGAACCCCAACCCAUCCUCCCCAAUGGGACAGUGACUUCAAAAUCUUUGCUCCCUCUCCCAAGGAGGAUUAGCUGCGUCCACUCCAGCAUGUGUGAUCAGUUUAUCUUUCUGUCAGAUCGCACAUCCACCACUUGAGAUUGGCAUUUGCCUACCUCUUUGACCACUACUAGAACAUGAACUCCUCAAAAUCAGGGUCUGGAACCUACUUCUGCAUAUCUGUUCAUCUAAGUACUUAGGGAGCGCACAGUGGGAGUUCAAAAAGUGCUUGUUGAAUUCAUGAAUGAAUUUCCUUUUAAAUCAAGGUCGAUAUUUCAUAUGUCCUAGAUUGUGAAUGAAUCAUAUGUACGUAAACACUGUGAAGUAACUGGCUCUUAAAUGAGUUUAAGAAUGACUACGAAGAAAGGCUUCACUCACCCAAACCCAGUUUUUUCAGAGACCUCGCCCGGUUUCAUCUGUUUCAGCCCAGGCACGAGAUGGCCCCGCCUCCCUGCCUGCCAAUCAACCGGCCCUCGCGCCUGCGCAGACAUCGUCCUCUCACGAAGCCCCGCCCCAGUCACCGCCCCGGGACUGUUGCGGGCGGUUAGAUGUGGCGGGAGCUCUUCCUUCAUUAGCUCGCCCACUAUGACGAUCACCUACAGCUGCAUUGCAAAUGGCCGAGCGGUCCUAGCGGAGCUGGCCCUAACCGGCGGGUCUUAUCAGGAAGCAGCAGCAGCAGUGCUUAAGCUAGUACUUCUUAGAGCUGAACCAAAGACCAUGAUUCAAAUGGGAAGGCCAAAGAAUCCCCCCAAACAAUGA
Long non-coding RNA from Bos indicus x Bos taurus (hybrid cattle), 1207 nucleotides. The record is from Ensembl. NCBI's taxonomy places the organism in Eukaryota, Metazoa, Chordata, Mammalia, Artiodactyla, Bovidae.